Molecule: long non-coding RNA, 320 nt
Filed under: Parus major (Great Tit)
Lineage: Eukaryota; Metazoa; Chordata; Aves; Passeriformes; Paridae
Description: lncRNA (ENSPMJG00000003017.1)
Source: RNAcentral
CAGAGCAAGGUGAAUUUGUGGACUGUCCUCCUGGGAGAUGCUAUCAGGACAAGCUGUGAAGUUGGAUGUCUGAAAGAGAUCAAGACAAUUUUCUAAACACCAGUACACAAUCUCAGUUGGAUAGCUGGACACAACUGUUUCCCUGGAAAUGGACCCAUAGGAAUCAGAAACAAAGGACGCUGAUGCUGCUUUUCAUCUUCUGCCCAAGGAGAAUAAAUGUUUGUGCAAACCUUUUUUCAUGUGGCUGCCCAGAAAUGACCCAAGUGAAGCCAAGAAACUGCACAUUAAGCAACCACCCCCUGGCAAUGCUGCUGAAAUGA